Molecule: ribosomal RNA, 798 nt
Filed under: uncultured Pseudomonadota bacterium
Lineage: Bacteria; Pseudomonadati; Pseudomonadota
Description: bacterial SSU rRNA
Rfam family: Bacterial small subunit ribosomal RNA
Source: RNAcentral
UGCAAGUCGAGUGCGCGGUUGUAGCAAUACAACUGGCGCACGGCGCACGGGUGCGUAACACGUGGGUAACCUGCCCUUUGGUGGGGAAUAACUCCGCGAAAGCGGAGCUAAUUCCGCAUAAGAUCCGCAAGGAUGAAAGCAGCAAUGCGCCGAAGGAGGGGCCCGCGCCCGAUUAGCUAGUUGGUAGGGUAACGGCCUACCAAGGCUUUGAUCGGUAGCUGGUCUGAGAGGAUGAUCAGCCACACUGGAACUGAGACACGGUCCAGACUCCUACGGGAGGCAGCAGUGGGGAAUCUUGCACAAUGGGCGAAAGCCUGAUGCAGCGACGCCGCGUGGGGGAUGAAGCAUUUCGGUGUGUAAACCCCUUUCGAUCCGGACGAAACCCCGCAAGGGAUUGACGGUACGGAUAUAAGAAGCCCCGGCUAACUACGUGCCAGCAGCCGCGGUAAGACGUAGGGGGCCAGCGUUGUUCGGAAUUACUGAGUGUAAAGGGUUCGUAGGCGGUGCGGCAAGUUGGGAGUGAAAUCUCUGGGCUUAACCCAGAGGCUGCUUCCAAAACUGCUGUGCUUGAGUGUGGGAGAGGCGCGUGGAAUUGCAGGUGUAGCGGUGAAAUGCGUAGAUAUCUGCAGGAACACCCGUGGCGAAAGCGGCGCGCUGGACCACUACUGACGCUGAGGAACGAAAGCUAGGGGAGCAAACAGGAUUAGAUACCCUGGUAGUCCUAGCCCUAAACGAUCAGGACUUGGGGUGCCACCCGUUCGGGUGUCGUCCCGGAGCUAACGCGUUAAGUCCUGCACC